RNAcentral lists this ribosomal RNA (490 nucleotides) under uncultured bacterium. RNAcentral describes it as "partial 16S ribosomal RNA". It matches the Rfam family "Bacterial small subunit ribosomal RNA", at positions 30 to 507 of the family's 1533-position model. The record is from RNAcentral.
AUUGAACGCUGGCGGCAGGCCUAACACAUGCAAGUCGAACGGUAACAGGAAACAGCUUGCUGUUUCGCUGACGAGUGGCGGACGGGUGAGUAAUGUCUGGGAAACUGCCUGAUGGAGGGGGAUAACUACUGGAAACGGUAGCUAAUACCGCAUAACGUCGCAAGACCAAAGAGGGGGACCCUCGGGCCUCUUGCCCUCGGAUGUGCCCAGAUGGGAUUAGCUUGUUGGUGGGGUAACGGCUCACCAAGGCGACGAUCCCUAGCUGGUCUGAGAGGAUGACCAGCCACACUGGAACUGAGACACGGUCCAGACUCCUACGGGAGGCAGCAGUGGGGAAUAUUGCACAAUGGGCGCAAGCCUGAUGCAGCCAUGCCGCGUGUAUGAAGAAGGCCUUCGGGUUGUAAAGUACUUUCAGCGGGGAGGAAGGGAGUAAAGUUAAUACCUUGGCUCAUUGACGUUACCCGCAGAAGAAGCACCGGCUAACUCCGUG